GGAGGAAAGCCAUGUGUCGUAGUUUUAGGAUUUAGUCGUUAAUGACAGUUAUGUUAUUUAUGUAUAUAUAGGGUAGUUAUUAUCUAAAAAGGGUGUGAAGAAUUACUAUAUGCAAAAUUCCUGAAAACACUCAAAGUACCCGUGUGAGAGAAAAGAGUCAUAUUUGGAAAAUGUAUGUGUAAACAAACACCAAUUCUUUCAAAGUUUAUUUUAUAAAGUCUAAAAUUCUUUACAAAUCUCUUUUAUGCUUUCCAGUCAUUUAUCUUUCUGCACUUUAUCCUUUUCGACACUUUACGUUUCAUCAGUUAUUUUCCGCCAUUUACUUUAUCUUGUUAAAUUUACAUCCACUUAACAUUGUAAUCAACACAUUUCGACGUAAAACGCUUAGAGAACAGGAAUGAAAUAUUCAAAAGCGAUUUUAGACAUCUUCAAGACCAUCUAGAUUUGCACAUGUCCUAGGAUUUGUGUGGUUGAUCCUGCAAGUGACCCAAUUCUACAAGUUUUGGUAAACCAGAGGUUGUUCGCCAAAUUUCACAGCGAACAA
RNAcentral lists this long non-coding RNA (544 nucleotides) under Lathyrus oleraceus (garden pea). RNAcentral describes it as "Pisum sativum (pea) long non-coding RNA (PSAT_LNC025828)". Lineage: Eukaryota; Viridiplantae; Streptophyta; Magnoliopsida; Fabales; Fabaceae. The record is from RNAcentral.